RNAcentral lists this ribosomal RNA (301 nucleotides) under uncultured bacterium. Its description in RNAcentral is "partial 16S ribosomal RNA". It matches the Rfam family "Bacterial small subunit ribosomal RNA", at positions 509 to 807 of the family's 1533-position model. The record is from RNAcentral.
CAGUAGCCACGGUAAUACGGAGGGGGCUAGCGUUGUUCGGAAUUACUGGGCGUAAAGCGCACGUAGGCGGCUUGGUAAGUUAGGGGUGAAAGCCUGGAGCUCAACUCCAGAAUUGCCUUUAAGACUGCAUCGCUUGAACGUCGGAGAGGUGAGUGGAAUUCCGAGUGUAGAGGUGAAAUUCGUAGAUAUUCGGAAGAACACCAGUGGCGAAGGCGGCUCACUGGACAAUAACUGACGCUGAUGCACGAAAGCUAGGGGAGCAAACAGGAUUAGAUACCCCCGUAGUCCCUGUCUCUUAUAC